Small nuclear RNA from Molossus molossus (Pallas's mastiff bat), 112 nucleotides. Lineage: Eukaryota; Metazoa; Chordata; Mammalia; Chiroptera; Molossidae. The record is from RefSeq and is a predicted model, not a curated record.
GUAAUCAUUUUGGCAGCACAUAUACUGAAAUUGGAAUGAUAUAGAGAAGAUUAGCAUGUCCCUUGUGCAAGGAUGGCAUGCAAAGCACACUCAAGAUACUCAAUAAAUAUUA